Molecule: ribosomal RNA, 458 nt
Filed under: Teleopsis dalmanni
Lineage: Eukaryota; Metazoa; Arthropoda; Insecta; Diptera; Diopsidae
Description: partial 16S ribosomal RNA
Rfam family: Bacterial large subunit ribosomal RNA (bases 270-428)
Source: RNAcentral
GGUUGGACGAGAUAUAAGCUGUUUCAUUUAAAAUUUAUAUAGAAUUUUAUUUUUUAGUUAAAAAGCUAAAAUAUGAUCAAAAGACGAGAAGACCCUAUAAAUCUUAAUUAUUUAAUAAUUUUUAAUUUAUUUUGGUUUUUUUUGUUAUAAAUUUAUUAAAUAAUUUUAUUGGGGUGAUAUUAAAAUUUAAAUAACUUUUAAUAAUUUUUGUCAUUUAUUUAUGAUUAAGUGAUCCAUUAUUAGUGAUUAAAAAAUUAAGUUACUUUAGGGAUAACAGCGUAAUUUUUUUGGAGAGUUCUUAUCGAUAAAAAAGUUUGCGACCUCGAUGUUGGAUUAAGAUUCAUAUUUAAAUGUAGAAGUUUAAAUAUUAAGUCUGUUCGACUUUUUAUUCUUACAUGAUCUGAGUUCAAACCGGUGUAAGCCAGGUUGGUUUCUAUCUUUGAUUUAAUAAAAUAUUU